GCCUACUUCCUGGAUCCCAUAAGCACCCCUCUGGAAUUUUCAAUCCAUCCAUUCCUUCUCUGCUCAAUCCAGUAGAAAAAAUCUCCCUGUGUGAUCAGCAGCACUUCUUGGUCAUCAGUCCUACAUACAGUGGCUCCCUUCAUUAGAAGUCUUUCAGAAUUGGAAGUGUUGAGGUUUCAGAUGGCUGGAAAAUACUGCUUCUUGACAUUCAAGGCUCAAUUUCAUUGGAAGAAAAACUGCUAAAGCAUUGGAGAAAAUUUGUUGCUUUCUUUUGGAAGUAAGAGGAGGAAGGGAUGAUGACGGAAAUCUUUUCUGUUCACAGAAUUUGGUGCAUUGGACUUGGACCCUGAAUAGUUCAACAGGUGAGAAACUGCCUCAAAAUUCACAUGAGAAAGAGCUACAGUCCCUGAUAUUGGAUAGAUUUUCAUCUCCUGAUCUACAUUCAAAAGGGAAAGAAUUUGAAGACACAGAGCAAGUCUUUAUUCAAGUGCCGUCUAUAGAUUAACAGCUGUCUUAGAUCACUUGACUGUACAGAGGGAAAGAAACAGGGAAAUGGGUUUGUGUUCAGUCCAGAGCGAGCUGACUUUCAAAGGUCAGAGGGACACCUGACCUUAAGACUUCACUAGAGGUAUAUGAAGCACACUUUUAGCCAGAUACUAUCAAUCAUGUAGCUUCUUGUUUUUGUUAAUAAGUCUAGUCUUGGGAUCAGGAUGGGGGGAAAGCAAAAAUAUUUAAAGUUCAGAAUGCAAUUAGUUUAACAAGAUUGACAUAAAUUUCUUUAAAAAAAAAAAAACAUACAUCCUGAGUUUUAAUCAAUAAUUUUGUUAAGUAUAUUUUAUUUGGAAGCUAAAUAAAACUAUUGAGGGGUGUGUGAUUUUUUUUUCCUUUCAAAAAGACCUAGAAAGAGG
Long non-coding RNA from Sarcophilus harrisii (Tasmanian devil), 908 nucleotides. RefSeq lists it as uncharacterized. The transcript has 3 exons. The record is from RefSeq and is a predicted model, not a curated record. Lineage: Eukaryota; Metazoa; Chordata; Mammalia; Dasyuromorphia; Dasyuridae.